GACGAACGCUGGCGGCGUGCUUAACACAUGCAAGUCGAACGGGAUUUAGUAAACAGAAGCCUCGGUGGAAGAUUACUAAUGAGAGUGGCGAACGGGUGAGUAACGCGUGAGCAACCUGCCUAUGACAGUGGGAUAGCCUCGGGAAACCGGGAUUAAUACCGCAUAAAAUCGUAGAAACACAUGUUUUAAUGGUCAAAGAUUUAUCGGUCAUAGAUGGGCUCGCGUCUGAUUAGCUAGUUGGUGAGAUAACAGCCCACCAAGGCGACGAUCAGUAGCC
RNAcentral lists this ribosomal RNA (277 nucleotides) under uncultured bacterium. RNAcentral describes it as "partial 16S ribosomal RNA". It matches the Rfam family "Bacterial small subunit ribosomal RNA", at positions 28 to 288 of the family's 1533-position model. The record is from RNAcentral.